This 164-nucleotide small nuclear RNA is filed under the name Octodon degus (degu). Its description in RNAcentral is "U1 spliceosomal RNA (ENSODEG00000021085.1)". It matches the Rfam family "U1 spliceosomal RNA". Rfam says of the family: U1 is a small nuclear RNA (snRNA) component of the spliceosome (involved in pre-mRNA splicing). The record is from Rfam by way of RNAcentral. Lineage: Eukaryota; Metazoa; Chordata; Mammalia; Rodentia; Octodontidae.
AUACUUACCUGGCAGGGGAGAUACCAUGAUCAUGAAGGUGGUUUUCCCAGGGCAAGGCUUAUCCAUUGCACUCCGGAUGUGCUGACCCCUGCGAUUUCCCCAAAUGCGGGAAACUCGACUGCAUAAUUUGUGGUAGUGGGGGACUGCAUUCGCGCUCUCCCCCA